Aedes albopictus (Asian tiger mosquito) is the source of this 1265-nucleotide long non-coding RNA. RefSeq lists it as uncharacterized. The record is from RefSeq and is a predicted model, not a curated record. The transcript has 3 exons. NCBI's taxonomy places the organism in Eukaryota, Metazoa, Arthropoda, Insecta, Diptera, Culicidae.
UAUCUUGAAACUUUCUUGCCACUUCCGGACGUGACGUCAAAGUUUGCUCCUCCGUCAAAAAGCAGCGCUCUCUUUCUCUCUCUCUUGCACUGCCGGGGUUGCAUGCAUCGCAGCUCUGGCACUCUCUCGUUCGUUUGCGCCUUCAUUUUCACUUCGGCUUCACUCGAGUUUGGUUCGCUUUCGCGGCGUGAGGAUUUUUCUCUCUUCGCCGGACUGAGUGGUGUGCGGCGGUACGUGAAUUUCCUCGGGUCUUGACCUCCAGUUUUUAGUGCAGUUUUCGGGUAAUAAAAUGCCAAAAUUCGGCAUUGUUUUUGUUUUUCCGAGUGGGGCUAAGUUUGGGGACCGGUUAUUGAGUGAAGGUUGCGAAAAAUUCGGUGAAAAAGUGCGGUUUUCGGGCGGUUGAAAUUGCGGAAGUUGUUCCCACAAUGCGGCGACGGCGAGACGAGCUUGGCGUGGUUUUCGACUCUCGCUCUCGAAUGAUCGUCGUUCGAGUGAAGUGCAAGUGAAAAUAAGGUGAAAUUUCGGAUCGUGUUUUUUUAUUUGCCGGGUGGAAAAAUAAGUGAAAGAUUCUGCUUGAGGGUUAUUGAAUUAAAACGUUUUUAGGUCGUCGCGCUAAGUGUCUUGGCGGUUCCUUCCGCUCGGAAUCGACGUGCUAGCAAGCUGGUGGCUGUAUAAGGAAGAAAUGCGGAGAGGAAAAAACGUGCUUUUUCACGAAAGCUGUCCCUCCUUGAAUUGGACGAGAACCAAAAUGGUGCGCUGUUUCGCGGUAUAUUCUUGUGGCUUGAUGCAUUUGAAAAAUCUCAAAUCACAGGAGUAUACUGUGAGAGAUCGCGGAAAUCGGCCCGGAGAUGAGUCACCGGGAAAUCCGCGCGCCAGAACAACAGAUUGUGGAACCAUUACCGGAAGUGGCUUUUCAUCCUGUUCUAGAGUGAUGUUCUACAACCAUCAAACUAGCCACCGAUGACGACGCACACUGGGGCAGGAUCGAGAGUGCAUGGCAAAAAAACCUCCAACUCGAUGAGAGGACAACAUCGAUGUCGAGGGUAAAUCAUGUAUUUUGGACAAGCUGAGGACAAAGCUAGGGAAAAUGUCGCUUAACUUCCUCGGAAACCAAUCGAUUAUGGUCGACAGUUUCUUCUGCGCUUGUAAAUAUGACUGCGUUUCUGGCGACAAAAAAUCGUAACUAAAGCAAGUUAGAAAAUCGCGAUUUCUAAUCACCUGUAAGGAAUGCAUGUUGAACACCCUGGAAAACAUAAUUUGAACAG